This is a long non-coding RNA of Eubalaena glacialis (North Atlantic right whale), 320 nucleotides long. RefSeq lists it as uncharacterized. The transcript is spliced from 3 exons. The record is from RefSeq and is a predicted model, not a curated record. NCBI's taxonomy places the organism in Eukaryota, Metazoa, Chordata, Mammalia, Artiodactyla, Balaenidae.
UCUGGUGCCUUUCCCUCAGCUGGAAAACAUGCCUCAGUGUACCUUCUGCUCCAGUUGGAGCCCGUUGAAGAUCUACGUUGGGAGGAGCAGGAAAUCUGGCCACUUUAACCUAAGGUCUCCUCAGCACCAGACCCUCCUUGGCUGCCUUCUUCUAUUCUGAGGAAUGACUGUCACAGAAGUUACCUCAUCUGAAAAGCUGGUGCAGGUAGAGUGAAGAAUGUCCUAGUGUUGCAGUAGUUGAGGCGGAGAAUGCUGCCCAAGUAAAGCCUCAGAGAAGAGGAGAAUCCCAGAAGAGAUUGUACUUCCAUUUCCCAAAACCC